GAUGAACGCUGGCGGCGUGCCUAAUACAUGCAAGUCGAGCGAACGGACGAGAAGCUUGCUUCUCUGAUGUUAGCGGCGGACGGGUGAGUAACACGUGGAUAACCUACCUAUAAGACUGGGACAACUUCGGGAAACCGGAGCUAAUACCGGAUGAUAUUUUUAACCGCAUGGUUCAAGAGUGAAAGACGGUCUUGCUGUCACUUAUAGAUGUAUCCGCGCGGCAUUAGCUAGUUGGUAAGGUAACGGCUUACCAAGGCAACGAUGCAUAGCCGACCUAGGAGGGUGAUCGGCAACACUGGAACUGAGAAAGGCUCAAGACUCCUACGGGAGGCAGAAGAAGGGAAUCUUCCGCAAUGGGCGAAAGCCGGACGGAGCAACGCGGCGUGGGGGAUGAAGUUCUCCGGUUCGAAAACCUCGGUUAUUGGGGAAGAACAUAUGUGUAAUUAAAAGUGCACAUCGUGACGGUACCUAAUCAGAAAGCCACGGCUAACUACGUG
RNAcentral lists this ribosomal RNA (497 nucleotides) under uncultured bacterium. RNAcentral describes it as "partial 16S ribosomal RNA". It matches the Rfam family "Bacterial small subunit ribosomal RNA", at positions 28 to 507 of the family's 1533-position model. The record is from RNAcentral.